CAUAGGUUAAUGAGGCGAACCGGGGGAACUGAAACAUCUAAGUACCCCGAGGAAAAGAAAUCAACCGAGAUUCCCCCAGUAGCGGCGAGCGAACGGGGAGGAGCCCAGAGCCUGAAUCAGUGUGUGUGUUAGUGGAAGCGUCUGGAAAGGCGCGCGAUACAGGGUGACAGCCCCGUACACAAAAAUGCACAUACUGUGAGCUCGAUGAGUAGGGCGGGACACGUGGUAUCCUGUCUGAAUAUGGGGGGACCAUCCUCCAAGGCUAAAUACUCCUGACUGACCGAUAGUGAACCAGUACCGUGAGGGAAAGGCGAAAAGAACCCCGGCGAGGGGAGUGAAAAAGAACCUGAAACCGUGUACGUACAAGCAGUGGGAGCACGCUUCGGCGUGUGACUGCGUACCUUUUGUAUAAUGGGUCAGCGACUUAUAUUCUGUAGCAAGGUUAACCGAAUAGGGGAGCCGAAGGGAAACCGAGUCUUAACUGGGCGUUAAGUUGCAGGGUAUAGACCCGAAACCCGGUGAUCUAGCCAUGGGCAGGUUGAAGGUUGGGUAACACUAACUGGAGGACCGAACCGACUAAUGUUGAAAAAUUAGCGGAUGACUUGUGGCUGGGGGUGAAAGGCCAAUCAAACCGGGAGAUAGCUGGUUCUCCCCGAAAGCUAUUUAGGUAGCGCCUCGUGAAUUCAUCUCCGGGGGUAGAGCACUGUUUCGGCAAGGGGGUCAUCCCGACUUACCAACCCGAUGCAAACUGCGAAUACCGGAGAAUGUUAUCACGGGAGACACACGGCGGGUGCUAACGUCCGUCGUGAAGAGGGAAACAACCCAGACCGCCAGCUAAGGUCCCAAAGUCAUGGUUAAGUGGGAAACGAUGUGGGAAGGCCCAGACAGCCAGGAUGUUGGCUUAGAAGCAGCCAUCAUUUAAAGAAAGCGUAAUAGCUCACUGGUCGAGUCGGCCUGCGCGGAAGAUGUAACGGGGCUAAACCAUGCACCGAAGCUGCGGCAGCGACACUAUGUGUUGUUGGGUAGGGGAGCGU
RNAcentral lists this ribosomal RNA (1034 nucleotides) under Escherichia coli. Its description in RNAcentral is "partial 23S ribosomal RNA". It matches the Rfam family "Bacterial large subunit ribosomal RNA", at positions 165 to 1239 of the family's 2925-position model. Lineage: Bacteria; Pseudomonadati; Pseudomonadota; Gammaproteobacteria; Enterobacterales; Enterobacteriaceae. The record is from RNAcentral.